RNAcentral lists this small nuclear RNA (106 nucleotides) under Chinchilla lanigera (long-tailed chinchilla). Lineage: Eukaryota; Metazoa; Chordata; Mammalia; Rodentia; Chinchillidae. The record is from RNAcentral.
AUGUUGAACAAGCAGCACAUAUUCUAAAAUUGGAAUGAUACAGGGAGGAUUAGCAUGGCCCCUGGGCAAGGAAGAUGCUCAAAUUUGUGAAGCGUUUCAAAAUUUU